CUCUCUCUCUCUCUCUCUCUCUCUCUCAAAGGGUUAAAUCAUAGCGCCGCCUCCAUCACCCCUCUUAUCUCUCCCCAUCAUCAUCGCCUUUUAUGGCAAAAUUUCAGGUGAGGUAAACUUUUGCCAGGUUUUGCUAGGUUUGUGUGACUGUAUGAGGCAAAACAUUUAAUGCUUUCUCCGUUUUUCACCAAACACGAUGUGUUGCAGGUUGUUACUUGAAGUUUCUCUUAGUGAAUUCCCGGACAUAUCUUCCUACAGCCUUGCUCAUCUCAUUCCAGGCAGAGGCUAUGUCAUUUAUUUGGUUUUAUUCUUGUGUAAUAGGAGCUCUUGUACCUAUUUAGACCAGAUCC
Long non-coding RNA from Lycium barbarum (goji berry), 350 nucleotides. RefSeq lists it as uncharacterized. The record is from RefSeq and is a predicted model, not a curated record. The transcript has 2 exons. Lineage: Eukaryota; Viridiplantae; Streptophyta; Magnoliopsida; Solanales; Solanaceae.